This 253-nucleotide ribosomal RNA is filed under the name uncultured bacterium. Its description in RNAcentral is "partial 16S ribosomal RNA". It matches the Rfam family "Bacterial small subunit ribosomal RNA", at positions 524 to 776 of the family's 1533-position model. The record is from RNAcentral.
GACGGAGGAUGCAAGCGUUAUUCGGAAUUAUUGGGCGUAAAGGGCGCGUAGGCGGUUGAAUAAGUCAGAUGUGAAAGCCCUUGGCUUAACCAAGGAAGUGCAUUUGAUACUAUUUGACUUGAGUAUGGGAGAGGGAAGUGGAAUUCCUGGUGUAGAGGUGAAAUUCGUAGAUAUCAGGAGGAACACCGGUGGCGAAAGCGACUUCCUGGACCAAUACUGACGCUGAGGCGCGAAGGCGUGGGGAGCAAACAGG